UGCAUAUCCAAAAAGCGGUGGAAAAGAAACCAACUGGGAUUGCCUUAGUAACGGCGAGUGAAGCGGCAAAAGCUCAAAUUUGAAAUCUGGUACCUUUGGUGCCCGAGUUGUAAUUUGUAGAGUACCACUUUGGGACUAUACUUUGCCUAUGUUCCUUGGAACAGGACGUCAUGGAGGGUGAGAAUCCCGUAUGGCGAGGGUGUUAGUUCUUUGUAAAGGGUGCUCGAAGAGUCGAGUUGUUUGGGAAUGCAGCUCUAAGUGGGUGGUAAAUUCCAUCUAAAGCUAAAUACAGGCGAGAGACCGAUAGCGAACAAGUACAGUGAUGGAAAGAUGAAAAGAACUUUGAAAAGAGAGUGAAAAAGUACGUGAAAUUGUUGAAAGGGAAGGGCAUUUGAUCAGACAUGGUGUUUUGCGCCCCUCGCUCCUUGUGGGUGGGGGACUCUCGCAGCUCACUGGGCCAGCAUCAGUUUUUGCGGCAGGACAAAACCUUGGGAAUGUAGCUGUGCGCCUCGGUGUACAGUGUUAUAGCUCUUGGGAAUACUGCCAGCGGGGACUGAGGACUGCGAUACUUGUUAUCUAGGAUGCUGGCAUAAUGGUUAUAUGCCGCCCGUCUUGAACCA
Molecule: ribosomal RNA, 620 nt
Filed under: Nakaseomyces nivariensis
Lineage: Eukaryota; Fungi; Ascomycota; Saccharomycetes; Saccharomycetales; Saccharomycetaceae
Description: eukaryotic LSU rRNA
Rfam family: Eukaryotic large subunit ribosomal RNA
Source: RNAcentral